This 491-nucleotide ribosomal RNA is filed under the name uncultured bacterium. Its description in RNAcentral is "partial 16S ribosomal RNA". It matches the Rfam family "Bacterial small subunit ribosomal RNA", at positions 28 to 507 of the family's 1533-position model. The record is from RNAcentral.
GAUGAACACUGGCUACAGGCUUAACACAUGCAAGUCGAGGGGAAACGACGGGGAAGCUUGCUUCCCCGGGCGUCGACCGGCGCACGGGUGAGUAACGCGUAUCCAACCUGCCUCUGACUGAGGGAUAACCCGUCGAAAGUCGGCCUAAUACCUCAUGGCAUCGUCUGCGGGCAUCCAACGACGAUUAAAGAUUUCAUCGGUCAGGGAUGGGGAUGCGUCUGAUUAGCUUGUUGGCGGGGUAACGGCCCACCAAGGCUACGAUCAGUAGGGGUUCUGAGAGGAAGGUCCCCCACAUUGGAACUGAGACACGGUCCAAACUCCUACGGGAGGCAGCAGUGAGGAAUAUUGGUCAAUGGGCGGGAGCCUGAACCAGCCAAGUAGCGUGCAGGAUGACGGCCCUAUGGGUUGUAAACUGCUUUUAUGCGGGGAUAAAGUGAGGGACGUGUCCUUCAUUGCAGGUACCGCAUGAAUAAGGACCGGCUAAUUCCGUG